This 484-nucleotide ribosomal RNA is filed under the name uncultured bacterium. RNAcentral describes it as "partial 16S ribosomal RNA". It matches the Rfam family "Bacterial small subunit ribosomal RNA", at positions 30 to 507 of the family's 1533-position model. The record is from RNAcentral.
AUUGAACGCUGGCGGCAGGCCUAACACAUGCAAGUCGAGCGGACGAAGGGAGCUUGCUCCUGGAUUCAGCUGCGGACGGGCGAGUAAUGCCCAGGAAUCUGCCUGGUCGUGGGGGAUAACGUCCGUAAACGGGCCCUAAUACCGCAUACGUCCUGAGGGAGAAAGUGGGGGAUCUUCGGACCUCACGCUAUUAGCUGAGCCUAGGUCGGAUUAGCUAGUUGGUGGGGUAAAGGCCUACCAAGGCGACGAUCCGUAACUGGGCUGAGAGGAUGAUCAGUCACACUGGAACUGAGACACGGUCCAGACUCCUACGGGAGGCAGCAGUGGGGAAUAUUGGACAAUGGGCGAAAGCCUGAUCCAGCCAUGCCGCGUGUGUGAAGAAGGUCUUCGGAUUGUAAAGCACUUUAAGUUGGGAGGAAGGGCAGUAAGUUAAUACCUUGCUGUUUUGACGUUACCAACAGAAUAAGCACCGGCUAACUUCGUG